Molecule: ribosomal RNA, 491 nt
Filed under: uncultured bacterium
Lineage: Bacteria
Description: partial 16S ribosomal RNA
Rfam family: Bacterial small subunit ribosomal RNA
Source: RNAcentral
GAUGAACGCUGGCUACAGGCUUAACACAUGCAAGUCGAGGGGAAACGACGGGGAAGCUUGCUUCCCCGGGCGUCGACCGGCGCACGGGUGAGUAACGCGUAUCCAACCUGCCUCUGACUGAGGGAUAACCCGUCGAAAGUCGGCCUAAUACCUCAUGGCAUCGUCUGCGGGCAUCCAACGACGAUUAAAGAUUUCAUCGGUCAGGGAUGGGGAUGCGUCUGAUUAGCUUGUUGGCGGGGUAACGGCCCACCAAGGCUACGAUCAGUAGGGGUUCUGAGAGGAAGGUCCCCCACAUUGGAACUGAGACACGGUCCAAACUCCUACGGGAGGCAGCAGUGAGGAAUAUGGGUCAAGGGGCGGGAGCCUGAACCAGCCAAGUAGCGUGCAGGAUGACGGCCCUAUGGGUUGUAAACUGCUUUUAUGCGGGGAUAAAGUGAGGGACGUGUCCUUCAUUGCAGGUACCGCAUGAAUAAGGACCGGCUAAUUCCGUG